CUCAAUCCACACACACUUAUUCAGCGCACAGUCUCUGAGAAAGCAGUGGAGAGAAAGAGAUGGCCAGAGAUAUCUUUGUCUUUGGUGGAAGAAAUGAAGAUCAAAUCAUCAGCAGCAUCUGGUUCAGAUGGGGUGCAGGUCAUCAUGGUGGCGGUGGAGGAGGAUGUGGAGGAGGCGGUGGAGCAUGUGGUGGUGGAGGUCGAACCUAGUUAAUAAUUUGCUCUUACGUUUAUACUUACAUAGGUUAAUCUUCUGUCUUAGAUUUUGUUUCCUUUGAUUUGUUGUAUUGCUUUGUGCUGGUGACUACUAACUAGUUAGUUAAUUCUGACUCAUGGAUGAUUAUUUCUCAUGUGUAUAUAUCUUUAUUAUUAGCCUGAUUCUUAAUAUAAGAGCUGAUUUAAAUUUUA
This is a long non-coding RNA of Neltuma alba, 407 nucleotides long. RefSeq lists it as uncharacterized. Lineage: Eukaryota; Viridiplantae; Streptophyta; Magnoliopsida; Fabales; Fabaceae. The record is from RefSeq and is a predicted model, not a curated record. The transcript is spliced from 2 exons.